Molecule: ribosomal RNA, 253 nt
Filed under: uncultured bacterium
Lineage: Bacteria
Description: partial 16S ribosomal RNA
Rfam family: Bacterial small subunit ribosomal RNA
Source: RNAcentral
UACGGGGGGGGCAAGCGUUGUUCGGAAUUACUGGGCGUAAAGGGCUCGUAGGCGGCCAACUAAGUCAGACGUGAAAUCCCUCGGCUUAACCGGGGAACUGCGUCUGAUACUGGAUGGCUUGAAUCCGGGAGAGGGAUGCGGAAUUCCAGGUGUAGCGGUGAAAUGCGUAGAUAUCUGGAGGAGCACCGGUGGCGAAGGCGGCAUCCUGGACCGGCAUUGACGCUGAGGAGCGAAAGCCAGGGGAGCAAACGGG